This 305-nucleotide ribosomal RNA is filed under the name uncultured bacterium. Its description in RNAcentral is "partial 16S ribosomal RNA". It matches the Rfam family "Bacterial small subunit ribosomal RNA", at positions 335 to 657 of the family's 1533-position model. The record is from RNAcentral.
UCCCUACGGGGCGCAGCAGUGGGGGAUAUUGCACAAUGGGGGGAACCCUGAUGCAGCGACGCCGCGUGGGCGAGGGAGCGCCUCGGCGCGUAAAGCCCUUUCGGCGGGGGAGAACGAUGACGGUACCCGACGAAGAAGCACCGGCUAAAUACGUGCCAGCAGCCGCGGUAAUACGUAUGGUGCGAGCGUUGUCCGGAUUUACUGGGCGUGAAGGGGGCGCAGGCGGCGCGCCAAGCCCGAUGUGAAAGCCCGGGGCUCAACCCCGGGACUGCAUUGGGAACUGGCGGGGUGGGGUGCCGGGGGGG